CUACGGAAGGCGCGAAUAAUUCACAAUGGGGGCAACCCUGAUGGUGCAACGCCGCGUGGAGGAUGACGGUCUUCGGAUUGUAAACUCCUGUCAUCCGGGAGUAAGACCUGGCCGUUAAUAGCGGGCAGGGUUGAUAGUACCGGAAGAGGAAGGGACGGCUAACUUCGUGCCAGCAGCCGCGGUAAUACGAAGGUCCCAAGCGUUGUUCGGAAUCACUGGGCGUAAAGGGAGCGUAGGCGGCGUGGUAAGUCAGAUGUGAAAUCCCGGGGCUCAACCCCGGAACUGCAUCCGAUACUGCCAUGCUAGAGUGAUGGAGUGGUAGCUGGAAUUCUUGGUGUAGCAGUGAAAUGCGUGGAUAUCAAGAGGAACACUCGUGGCGAAAGCGAGCUACUGGACAUUUACUGACGCUGAGGCUCGAAGGCCAGGGUAGCGAAAGGGAUUAGAUACCCGUGUAGUCUG
Molecule: ribosomal RNA, 459 nt
Filed under: uncultured bacterium
Lineage: Bacteria
Description: bacterial SSU rRNA
Rfam family: Bacterial small subunit ribosomal RNA
Source: RNAcentral